ACCCUAUCUUGUGUUCAAGGUCCUUCGAUUCGGGAGUCUCGAAGGCUAAGAGGGAAGCUGGUGAGACUGGAGAACGGUCGAAUCCGGCGCUGCCCCCGCAACUGUGAACGGCGAGCUUCUGUCCGAAAGCGCCACUGGGAUGUCCCGGGAAGGCGGACAGGUGGUGAUGACCCGUGAGCCAGGAGACCUGCCUUGUUCGGAAAACGUCA
Molecule: non-coding RNA, 209 nt
Filed under: Polymorphum gilvum
Lineage: Bacteria; Pseudomonadati; Pseudomonadota; Alphaproteobacteria; Rhodobacterales; Paracoccaceae
Also listed under: 1 other name
Source: RNAcentral